UUCUCUAGUUAGCCCCCGAAAUAAAAAAACUUGUGUUAAAUUGAUUAUUUUAAUUCUGAAAAAGAGUAAAAGACAAAUAAAACUUGGGUUUUCAACUUAUUUACUGACCCAACCUCAAUUUGGAUCUAGAUCCACAUACAUUGGGUCGGAUUUUGGAUCAUUUAACCCCAAAAAUCUCAAAAUCGUAAAGUUCCAAAAUCAAAAUCCCUAACUCUAAUUUUUUUCCCCUUUUCUCUAAAAAAAAAAACGACGAAUCGCCGUUCAUCUCUCCGCCGUUCUUCUCUCGUCGCCGGCAAACCUUCUUUUCUUCCCUCUUCUCUCCGAAUCGAAACUCUCAUUCUUCUUCUCGCUGGAAAUUCUUUGUUAGAAAUCCAAUCCAAAUCCAUGUUCCUCCGUCUCCUUUCUUAAGGAGAAGGAGAAGGAAAAAGAGAAGGAGAUGGAGCAAGAGCAGGCGAAGCAGAUGGAGCAAGAGAAGAGUUCGGCUCCUAUUUUGGUCUCUGAUGAUGAGUUCCGCUUGUAUUCUGGUCUCUAAUUUUUCGUAAACUAGAUUUGAGUUUAAAAGAUAUGGAAAUCAAAUAUUUAAUUUUAAAUGCUAUUAAACUUAAUAUCGAGAAUAUCUAGCAAAUGGAAACUACUAAAACAAUAAAAUCGAAAUCAAAUCUAAAUUUCUAAUGAUUAUUCCACAUACCUUAGUUAUCAUAAAUAACUAAUACAAUAUAAAAAUCAUUAAUUCGAUUGUUUAAAUUAGGAAAAUUUAAACAUUAAUUUCCAGAAUUUAAUUCGUUUCCGAAAUUAAUGCACAAUUAUAUAUCCAUUGUAUAUAUAUAUAUUUUCUUUUUUUUGUAAACUAUAUAUAUCGUAUUAACAAACGAAUAUUUUAUAUUCAACUUAUUUCCUAUAAAAAUGCUACAUAUUAUGACCCCAUUAAAGUUUGUUUCCUAAAUCAAAUAAACCGUAUAAAAUCCACAUUCAAUCACAACUACUGAAUUGGAAAUGAUUCUUAACUAAACGAUUUUAUUCUUAUUUCCUAUAGCAUAUUCUAUUAGAUUUAGGAUCAUGAAUAUUUUAUAAGAUAUAUAAUACUUGCUAAUCAAGAUUUUGUAUAUUCUCUACCAUAAAACCCUACUAAUCUAUCUAAACACUAUAAAACACUAAUACAUUUCCGAUCUCUAACUUAAGCUCAAAAUUUUUUUUACGAACACCAAUGGCCAAAUCCUUUGCUUGCUUGAGGAACAUCAUGCCUUACAAAACAGAUUGGCGUGUGCAGGUGAAGGAUAUUUGUGGCAUUGCAGAUCUAUCAAACUAAUAUAU
This is a long non-coding RNA of Arabidopsis lyrata subsp. lyrata, 1311 nucleotides long. RefSeq lists it as uncharacterized. NCBI's taxonomy places the organism in Eukaryota, Viridiplantae, Streptophyta, Magnoliopsida, Brassicales, Brassicaceae. The record is from RefSeq and is a predicted model, not a curated record. The transcript has 3 exons.